RNAcentral lists this ribosomal RNA (226 nucleotides) under Hoylesella nanceiensis. RNAcentral's name for it is "partial 23S ribosomal RNA". It matches the Rfam family "Bacterial large subunit ribosomal RNA", at positions 2682 to 2925 of the family's 2925-position model. Lineage: Bacteria; Pseudomonadati; Bacteroidota; Bacteroidia; Bacteroidales; Prevotellaceae. The record is from RNAcentral.
UACGAGAGGACCGUGAUGGACAGACCUCCGGUUUACCAGUUGUUCCGCCAGGGGCACCGCUGGGUAUCCGAGUCUGGUUUGGAUAAGCGCUGAAAGCAUCUAAGUGCGAAGCCAUCCGCAAGAUUAGAACUCCUUUGAGGGUCGUUGUAGACGACGACGUUGAUAGGGUGUAGGUGUAAAGACAGUGAUGUCAAAGCCGAGCACUACUAAUUGCCCAAAGCUUUCA